UCGAACCUCCGCCUCCCUUAAUCAACCACCGUAACAAAUUUUUCCGGCGGACCUAUUCCGACCUCAGGAGUUGCUACUUCACCGGAUCUACCAUCUCAUCGGUUUAGUUUCUCAUGAAAAAGGAGAUAAUGAUGCAGAUCUGGAUUAUAAACUGCAGCAUUUAUUUCUCUUUAAACCUAACCGCUCUGUUGGUUGGUGUUUGAAGACAAAUUUACUUCUUACUGUCUUCUACAGUUGAUCUACCUUAUCACUAAGGUUACUCUUACCACUCACUGUGGUCCCAUUACUGUCGACGCGCUCUCCAGUAACUACUUUCAAAAGUUUUCAACUACCUGUACCCUCCCGCCAUGACUUACCGACUCUCACGGUCAGAUAAAGAAAAAUGGACCGUCGACCCCCGACGUCCCCACAAGCGACCUC
RNAcentral lists this long non-coding RNA (420 nucleotides) under Brassica napus (rape). RNAcentral describes it as "long non-coding RNA (BNAP_LNC017610)". The record is from RNAcentral. Lineage: Eukaryota; Viridiplantae; Streptophyta; Magnoliopsida; Brassicales; Brassicaceae.